Molecule: transfer RNA, 72 nt
Filed under: Ictidomys tridecemlineatus (thirteen-lined ground squirrel)
Lineage: Eukaryota; Metazoa; Chordata; Mammalia; Rodentia; Sciuridae
Description: Spermophilus tridecemlineatus (thirteen-lined ground squirrel) tRNA
Rfam family: tRNA
About the family: Transfer RNA (tRNA) molecules are approximately 80 nucleotides in length. Their secondary structure includes four short double-helical elements and three loops (D, anti-codon, and T loops).
Source: Rfam by way of RNAcentral
AGGGUUGUAGCUCAGUGGUAGAGUGCUUGCCUAGCAUGUGUGAGGCACUGAGUUCAAUUCUCAGUACCGCAU